UCCAGUUUGGCGGGGAUAAUCCGUUCCUUGUUCUUCCUUUCUCCGAACUGUCCUCACUUAGGUCUCUUCUCUUUCCUGGGCUGUGAUAGCAGUGGGGAGGCGUUGGGAGAAAAUAUCUGGUUGUCGGAGAGAGACGGGGAGCCCCCAGCACGGGCGUAGCCGCCUGCCGGUGUAGGCUCAGAAGCUCGGCUUGACCCUGGAUGCCCCAGGUUGCUUCCAGGGCAAGUGCAGCCCGGUUCUGAGGCCUCGUGGCGCUCUUGCUAUUUUUCUGGCAGGCAAUGGUCUUGAAGAGUCCAGAGUGUGGUGAACAUGAUUGCAUUGUGGAACAGGCAAGAGUUCAACCAAAAGGAGGAGAUUGUUAAAGAGAAACAACAUACUCAAAUGGAGUCGGUUGUGUUCACAGGCCAGCAGCACUCAAUCCACUGAACUACACCAGCCAGGGCCAAAAAUGUUUUAAUGAAGGAGUGUUGUGUGCAUCUCAUGCCACUCGCGGUGAUUUUGCAGAAGCCAUGGUACCAGCCAACAUCCACGACCCCACAGGUAUUCUCCUUCUGCAAAUGGUCCGAACCAGGUGUCUUCCCAACAGAGAUAGAUCUUGUGCAAGAUGAAUUCUAGUACCAGCUAAUAAAAGUAAGUAAUAAUAAGAGGAAGCAGUUUUGUUAUGUUAGAGUGAGAUAAUUUCUGGUCAACUUCCCAGGGUGUCCAGUGCCCUAGUCCCUGCCAUCUGGGGGGAGAUUAGCGGAGGGGGACAAGAAGUGUGACUAAGGAAUUACCUCUGUCUGCUUCCUGGGAGGCAUUUCUCCUACUGCAG
Artibeus jamaicensis (Jamaican fruit-eating bat) is the source of this 811-nucleotide long non-coding RNA. RefSeq lists it as uncharacterized. NCBI's taxonomy places the organism in Eukaryota, Metazoa, Chordata, Mammalia, Chiroptera, Phyllostomidae. The transcript is spliced from 5 exons. The record is from RefSeq and is a predicted model, not a curated record.